AGCGAACGCUGGCGGCAGGCUUAACACAUGCAAGUCGAGCGCCCCGCCAGGGGAGCGGCCGACGGGAGAGUAACACGUGGGAACAUACCUUUUGGUUCGGAACAACUGAGGGAAACUUCAGCUAAUACCGGAUAAGCCCUUACGGGGAAAGAUUUAUCGCCGAAAGAUUGGCCCGCGUCUGAUUAGCUAGUUGGUGAGGUAACGGCUCACCAAGGCGACGAUCAGUAGCUGGUCUGAGAGGAUGAUCAGCCUCACUGGGACUGAGACACGGCCCAGACUCCUACGGGAGGCAGCAGUGGGGAAUAUUGGACAAUGGGGGCAACCCUGAUCCAGCCAUGCCGCGUGAGUGAUGAAGGCCUUAGGGUUGUAAAGCUCUUUUGCCCGGGAAGAUAAUGACGGUACCGGGAGAAUAAGCCCCGGCUAACUUCGUG
RNAcentral lists this ribosomal RNA (431 nucleotides) under uncultured bacterium. RNAcentral describes it as "partial 16S ribosomal RNA". It matches the Rfam family "Bacterial small subunit ribosomal RNA", at positions 29 to 507 of the family's 1533-position model. The record is from RNAcentral.